AGUGAACGCUGGCGGUAGGCCUAACACAUGCAAGUCGAACGGUAACAGGUCUUCGGAUGCUGACGAGUGGCGAACGGGUGAGUAAUACAUCGGAACGUGCCUAGUAGUGGGGGAUAACUACUCGAAAGAGUGGCUAAUACCGCAUGAGAUCUACGGAUGAAAGCAGGGGAUCGCAGGACCUUGUGCUACUAGAGCGGCCGAUGGCAGAUUAGGUAGUUGGUGGGAUAAAAGCUUACCAAGCCGACGAUCUGUAGCUGGUCUGAGAGGACGAUCAGCCACACUGGGACGGAGACACGGCCCAGACUCCUACGGGAGGCAGCAGUGGGGAAUUUUGGACAAUGGGCGAAAGCCUGAUCCAGCAAUGCCGCGUGCAGAACGAAGGCCUUCGGGUUGUAAACUGCUUUUGUACGGAACGAAAAGCCCCGGGUUAAUACCCUGGGGUCAUUACGGUACCGUAAGAAUAAGCACCGGCUAACUACGUGCCAGCAGCCGCCGUAA
Molecule: ribosomal RNA, 498 nt
Filed under: uncultured bacterium
Lineage: Bacteria
Description: partial 16S ribosomal RNA
Rfam family: Bacterial small subunit ribosomal RNA
Source: RNAcentral